AUGCUGAAUCAAGCACACCGCUUGAAACACGUUUCCGGUUUUGAAUACAUUUCAAGGGUUGCCAGAUACAAGAGAACUUUAUUGGUGAGUAAAACGGUGUACAAACACACGCGAAUUCCAGAAAAAGAAAGACCAACAACCGCAAGGUUGUUGGAGCUGCAUAUAUUCUAUGUACCAGAAGAAAAGUGGAAUUCAAAACUCAAUAAAGCUCCAAUUGAAGCCAUUGACGGCUUCAUAUCUGCCGGCUUUAUCAGAGUGUAUCCCAACAUAAGUUUAAAAACUCUCAGGGAUGAACUUGGUGGGCUUCUUGGGGCAGAAAAGUCAAUUGACAAUUUUUCAUUUUUAAAAUGUGUCGGUCGAAGUUUGGCAUUGGUCAAAGCCAAACAAGAAAGGGAACUGAAAGUGAAGUCCUUUGUCCCUCCAUUUGCCCCACAUCCAGAACUGUACCUGCUGCCCAUGGUGGAAAAUAGUGACAGUGUUCUCUCUGAUUCGCUCACACCGGAUAGGCAGAUUUACCGCACAGACCUUCACACGUACUCUGCCAAGAGUUCCCACGUGCCUACUGUGACAAAAAAGUCCUCAAAACUUCCCCAGAUCAAACACCAAGCACCCCAACGGCCUCCCCCAACACAGAUCAUGCAAGGUUUGGGGAGCUUCAGCUCUAGCGAUGAGAAGGAAGAUGUCCUCCACUCUCAAGAGCCAGGGUGGGAUGAAACCCGCAACCCCCCAGGGAGAGACCAGGAUCAGUCAGAAUCUGUUCUAGAACAGGAAGAAAUGGCUCCAGCAGCAGAGCCUCAAGCUAAAAGCAAUACCUAUGUAAAGAUGGGCCCCCGUUUCCGGAAACACCCCACUAGAGAUUCUGGAGUUCCUGAGUCACUGGAGGAUUAUGAUUCUGGAUUCUCCCCCUCCAAAGCCAGGAACUCAAAUCGCUCUCAGCCGUUAAAGUACAUUAGCAAGAAAUCAAAUAAUCAGAUCCGGAGAAAUCCACCCCAUCUGCCCACUUCUGCACAGUAUUCCCCACCCCCUUCCUCAGCACUUCCUCAUCAUACCAUAGCAACGUGCAAACCCACUGCUUCUGUUUUCCUCACAAAUAGAGAGGAGUUGAUUGAGCAGAUUAAAUUGGUGAAAGAAGAGCGGAAGCAUCUUGAAAGGACUCGACAAGGCCUGCUGCGAAAAGGCAAAGACCUACUGGCACAGAACAGAUACCGUAGGAUGAAUGCGCGAGACAGCUGGAAGAGGAAGUACUUUGAUGCAAAGAAGGCCACAGAACACCUGGAGAGCACUCUAAAAAGUCUCAGACAGGACUUGGAAGCAUUUUAUCACAAACUGCUGCAACAGCUGCAGGCACGGGAUGGCAGGCACAAAACCAAACACCUGGGGAAACCUUACGCCAAGUGUUUCCUUUUCAGAAUGAACUCAUCAUCCAGAUUAUUUUGGAGAGCCAUGAAAUAGACAAGCUGAAAAAGAAAGUGGAUGAUGCCAAAAUGAAACUGGUCACAGAGCUGAAGCUCAGGAAGCAGGCUGCAACUGAACUCCAGGCACUAAAAGCAGAGCUAAUACAGAAGGUCCAGUCUUCUCUCCCUGUACCACACAAAAGCUCUGUGGGCAAUGGGUUUGGGUCCUAGAGCAGGUUGAGUUAGCUGGGCAUUUCAAGUAAAUCUCUGUGGCUUCAACUCUUAUCAUAAGGAACUAAGAAUUAAGGUUUUUUUCUGUGUGAAGAGGCUGUUUUUAUCAAAAGGUAAUCAGUGCUCAAUAAUUCCAAACAACUUCUGUCAUGUAAAACCCACUGACAUACAAGCGUUAUUUCUUCUACAACUUGUUAAUCACUUGGAUUCUUACACUACAGGUUAUAAAUAAGCAAUUGAGGUUUUACUAUAUGAUUUCAAGAUGUUUUAUUCAACAGUUUAUUAAAGGUUUUGCAUUAAAA
Molecule: RNA transcript, 1927 nt
Organism: Anguilla rostrata (American eel)
Lineage: Eukaryota; Metazoa; Chordata; Actinopteri; Anguilliformes; Anguillidae
Gene: spata1
Gene name: spermatogenesis associated 1
Exons: 13
Source: RefSeq, a predicted model, not a curated record